This 74-nucleotide transfer RNA is filed under the name Streptococcus sp. RNAcentral describes it as "tRNA-Ala". It matches the Rfam family "tRNA". Rfam says of the family: Transfer RNA (tRNA) molecules are approximately 80 nucleotides in length. The record is from RNAcentral. Lineage: Bacteria; Bacillati; Bacillota; Bacilli; Lactobacillales; Streptococcaceae.
GGGGCUUUAGCUCAGUUUGGGAGAGCACUUGCCUUGCAAGCAAAAGGUCGCAGGUUCAAAUCCUGUAAGCUCCA